UAUGUGAUCGUCUCUCGCAUAUCAAUAAGCGGAGGAAAAGAAACUAACAAGGAUUCCCCUAGUAACGGCGAGUGAAGCGGGAAGAGCUCAAAUUUGAAAUCUUAAAGGGUUUCCCUUUACGAAUUGUAGUUUAAAGAAGUGUUUUCUGUUGAGGUUUUGGUAAAAGUUCUUUGGAAUAGGACAUCAUAGAGGGUGAGAAUCCCGUAUUUGACCUUUACUUUCAACUUUGUGAUACACUUUCAAAGAGUCGGAUUGUUUGGGAAUGCAGUCCAAAAUGGGUGGUAAAUUUCAUCUAAAGCUAAAUAUUGGCGAGAGACCGAUAGCGAACAAGUACCGUGAGGGAAAGAUGAAAAGAACUUUGAAAAGAGAGUUAAACAGUACGUGAAAUUGUCAAAAGGGAAGCGUUUGACACCAGUGUUGUUUUUCUGAAAAUCAAUUAAAGAACUGUUUAUGCUAAGCUGUUUAGACUUUAUCAGGCUAACUGUUUAGUUUUGAGCUUUUCUUUAAUGCACUUUUCAGUUAACAAGUCAACAUCAAUUUCUUUUGCUGUAAAAAAGCUUGAGGAAGGUGGCUUGAGAUUCGUCUUAAGUGUUUAUAGCCUCUUGCCUAUGCAGUCGGAGAGAUUGAGGUCUGCAGCGUAGAUCCUUCGGGGCUAAAUGCAUUUGUGCUAAGUUAUAGCAUUUUAUAGACAACUUGUUGACUAUGAUUUGUCUUGUAGCUUACUCGCUUAUGUUAUUUUACCUACGCUUAGGAUGUUGACACACGCGCGUGCUCGAUCUAUACAUGGCUCUGUGCAUAUCAAUAAGCGGAGGAAAAGGGGGCUAUUACCUACGCUUAGGAUGUUGACACACGCGCGUGCUCG
This 862-nucleotide ribosomal RNA is filed under the name uncultured Neocallimastigales. Its description in RNAcentral is "partial large subunit ribosomal RNA". It matches the Rfam family "Eukaryotic large subunit ribosomal RNA", at positions 24 to 643 of the family's 3401-position model. The record is from RNAcentral. Lineage: Eukaryota; Fungi; Neocallimastigomycota; Neocallimastigomycetes; Neocallimastigales.